Long non-coding RNA from Daktulosphaira vitifoliae (grape phylloxera), 362 nucleotides. RefSeq lists it as uncharacterized. The record is from RefSeq and is a predicted model, not a curated record. The transcript is spliced from 3 exons. NCBI's taxonomy places the organism in Eukaryota, Metazoa, Arthropoda, Insecta, Hemiptera, Phylloxeridae.
GUUACUUCAAUGGCCAAAUGAACAAUUAUAUAAAAAUUCGACUACUUAAUAUUUAAAAGUUUUAAUAAAUUCAUUUUAUGAGGCUUUUAAAUUUUUCAUAUAUUAGUUCUUAAGUAAUUGUUCAGUAACAAUUCUAUAAGAUAAAGACAAUGAAUUUAUACGCUGUUUGUAGCUUCUUUUUUGGUUGUGUAAUUUUCGAUUCUUAUGCUAAAAUUUCAAAUACAAGAAAAAUGUUACGUGAUUGCCUAAAGAAUCGAGACAUGUUAGAUAAUGUAAAAGCAUGUUAGUUUACAUUAAUAUUAUAAUAUAUGAGCUGAACUCAAAAAUUAAAAAUAAUAUUUCAGCAUGCUUAAUAUUUUUUA